UCGAGAAUAUUCGACAAUGGGCGAAAGCCUGAUCGAGCGACGCCGCGUGCAGGAUGAAGGCCCUCGGGUUGUAAACUGCGGUAGUAGGGGAGGAACGCAAGUGACUGUACCCUACGGAAAGUGGUUGGUAACUACGUGCCAGCACCAGCGGUAAUACGUAGACCACAAGCGUUAUCCGGAUUUAUUGGGCGUAAAGAGCAUGUAGGAGGUCCGGUGCGUCUCUGGUUAAAGCCCACCGCCUAACGGUGGAAGUGCCAGAGAUACGAUCGGACUGGAGGAUGUGAGAGGUGCAUGGAACUCACGGUGUAGGGGUGAAAUCCGUUGAUAUCGUGGGGAACACCAAAGGCGAAGGCAGUGCACUGGUACACUCCUGACUCUGAGAUGCGAAAGCGUGGGGAGCAAAAAGGAUUAGAUACCCAAGUAGUCCCUGAGCGGGCUGGCAAGGCGCAU
RNAcentral lists this ribosomal RNA (450 nucleotides) under uncultured bacterium. RNAcentral describes it as "bacterial SSU rRNA". It matches the Rfam family "Bacterial small subunit ribosomal RNA", at positions 355 to 825 of the family's 1533-position model. The record is from RNAcentral.